Molecule: small nuclear RNA, 20 nt
Filed under: Arabidopsis thaliana (thale cress)
Lineage: Eukaryota; Viridiplantae; Streptophyta; Magnoliopsida; Brassicales; Brassicaceae
Description: snRNA_16112
Source: RNAcentral
GCCUGUGUGACACAUGGAUC